RNAcentral lists this ribosomal RNA (582 nucleotides) under Triticum aestivum (bread wheat). Its description in RNAcentral is "partial small subunit ribosomal RNA". Lineage: Eukaryota; Viridiplantae; Streptophyta; Magnoliopsida; Poales; Poaceae. The record is from RNAcentral.
AUGGAGCAGACUUUCAUCAUGAUCAAGCCCGACGGCGUCCAGAGAGGCCUGGUAAGUCCCAUUCCCCGUCUCUACACGGAACAACCCCUACGUGCUUGUCUGAAUCUGGCGAUCGGUUUCUGCUCCGGGUUACUGGAACCAUCUCUAAUCAUUGGUUUCGUGUUUGCAAUUUCUCUUCUGCAGAUUGGGGAUAUCAUCAGCCGAUUUGAGAAGAAAGGGUACUACUUGAAGGCGAUGAAGUUUAUGAAUGUGGAGAAAUCCUUCGCGCAGCAGCACUAUGCCGAUCUCUCUGCCCAGCCCUUCUUUGCCAAGUUGGUGGAUUACAUCAUUUCCGGCCCUGUUGUGGCCAUGGUGUGGGAGGGGAAGGAUGUUGUCUUGACUGGCCGAAGGAUCAUCGGGGCCACCAGGCCCUGGGAGGCAGCUCCUGGCACCAUCCGUGGUGACCAUGCUGUGGAGGUUAGCAGGAAUGUAAUUCAUGGAAGUGAUUCUGUGGAGAACGGAAAGAAGGAGAUCGCUCUGUGGUUCCCAGGAGGCUUGGCCGAAUGGAAGAGCAACCUCCACCCUUGGAUCUACGAGAACUGA